Molecule: long non-coding RNA, 1919 nt
Organism: Arachis duranensis
Lineage: Eukaryota; Viridiplantae; Streptophyta; Magnoliopsida; Fabales; Fabaceae
Exons: 10
Source: RefSeq, a predicted model, not a curated record
UCAGUCACCGCCACUCACCAACUCCCUUUCCCUUCCAAAACGCAAUACAUGCACAAGCAAAUACACACACACAGCAGAAGAAAGAAUAGAGAACGGAAGCCAGAGAAGAGAAGAGAGGAAGGACGCGCUGGCGCUAGUGGUCCUCGCAACCGCCGUCGCCGCCAAACCAACCGCGCGAGAGAGAGAAAGUUCGCUGAAGAGAGAUGCGUCAGAAAGAGAGAGAGCUCGCACCUUGUCAUUGCCGUCCAUGGAGCCACGAGCCGCAUCACUGUCGCCGAGGGAGGAAAGAGCACGAGCUGGAGGAGCCGUUGAAGAAGUUAUCGGCUGUGAGGCAAAGAUAAUUUUCGUUGAUAAUGGGUUUCAAUUCGGUGUAUAGGAGCUUGCUUGCAAGAUAUAUUCCCCCAGGAUUCCAAAAUGAACACUCUGGCCCAUCAUUUUAAAGAAUUUUUGUUCAUACCAGAACACUUAAGGCGGUGGCUAUUGAAAAUCCAAAUGAUGCUGAUCAAGCUGCUGAAAUUGUUCUCAGUGAAUUGCACAGAGACUUAAUAUUGCCACUACCAUGGAAGAGUAUGUUUUAUUUAUUGCAGUUGGAAAUUCAAGAAUAAAUCAAAGACUCGACAAAAAUUCAAGACUGAAAUAGAGUAUUUGCUCUUAAAGUUAGGCACCUGGCAGUUCUCAAAUAAACAAGUAAUUGGACGGGAUUUUGAUUCAAAUUCAAAUUGGAAAUGGUUUUAUUCCAGGACUUGCAGCUGCAUUUUUAUUGUUAACAAGAAGAGAAGAUAUGAGAGAGCGCCCUGCAAGUUUUGAAAGGGGGAGUUAGUUGGCACCAUAUGAGGGAAAGACUUCCUCUUUCGAUGUCGCAGAGAAGAGAAGAAGAAAACAACAAUGGUGAAGAAACAAAGAACGAUGGAAGAAGGAGAAGAGGGUGGCGACGACAGGGACGGUCACAGAGAAGGAUGCCAGAUCGAUAGAGAAAAGAAGAGAAAUGAGGCGACGGUGGUGAUGGAUGCCACCGCCGCUGUUGGAUCCGUAGAACUGUGUCCAUUUACCUAUCAAUCGGCAUUCUGCAGAGUUAUCCAUUUGAGAGAUGGUGUCAAGCUUUGGAGGGAAUAAAUUGAAAAAGCUAAAUCAGCUCUGGCUAAGGAUGAGGCUGAGCUUUCAAAAUUGAAAAAAGGAGAAAGCACACUUAAAGAUAUUGUGCAACAGCGAAGCGGUACCUUUUUCUUUCAUGCUGCUCAUGACUGACUCUGAACUUGAAUGUAAUGAAAAACAGCUGCCAGAUGCACCAGACAGGACACCGGCUGCCAAUAUUAAAGGUGGCUGAAGCAUUGCAUUUUUAGGCACUGUCUAAGUCUCUAAGACAUUAACUGUAGACGAACUGCUUUAUUUAAAGGAGGAGUUACACUUUUGGAGCCAAACAAAAAUGGAACCAUUAGCCUAGAAAACAUCAAAGCGGCCUCGAUGAAAAACGCAACAAAUGCUAUGGAGUCGCACACUAUUGACUUUUUUGGAUCAAUUCCAUGAUGCAAAUUCCAUGUCACUUGAGUUUAGUGUUCUUAAGGAUCUCAUUGAGAUUUUAGAGAGCAAAAGUAGCCUCAUUGAAGAGGCAGGGAGCUUGCAAUGUCUCCAAUCAAAUUGCUACGUUUUGAUGUAACUGUUUGGUAAAAAAAAAGCUUAUAUUUUGGAGGAUGUCCAUUUUUGCUUCAAAAGAGGGUCUUAAUGCGGCGCUCGAGUGAUUAUCUGUUUAUGGAUAGUUUUUCUAGAACAAUUGAUGUAACUGUCUUUUUUGUUCUUGGUUUAGGUUAUUUUUUUGUACGAAUUUGUCGUUGGAUGUAUUUUGUGGAACUGAUCUUAUUAACUUCCUUUUAGUUUUGGUAAAUUGAACUUAUAAAAAAAAGCAUGGAAAUAAUUUAAAAACA